RNAcentral lists this ribosomal RNA (493 nucleotides) under uncultured bacterium. Its description in RNAcentral is "partial 16S ribosomal RNA". It matches the Rfam family "Bacterial small subunit ribosomal RNA", at positions 29 to 523 of the family's 1533-position model. The record is from RNAcentral.
AUUGAACGCUGGCGGCAUGCUUUACACAUGCAAGUCGAACGGUAACGGGUUAAGCUGACGAGUGGCGAACGGGUGAGUAAUGCAUCGGAACGUGCCCGGUCGUGGGGGAUAACGCAGCGAAAGCUGCGCUAAUACCGCAUACGAUCUGAGGAUGAAAGCGGGGGACCGUAAGGCCUCGCGCGAUCGGAGCGGCCGAUGUCAGAUUAGGCAGUUGGUGGGGUAAAGGCUCACCAAGCCAACGAUCUGUAGCUGGUCUGAGAGGACGACCAGCCACACUGGGACUGAGACACGGCCCAGACUCCUACGGGAGGCAGCAGUGGGGAAUUUUGGACAAUGGGCGAAAGCCUGAUCCAGCAAUGCCGCGUGCAGGAAGAAGGCCUUCGGGUUGUAAACUGCUUUUGUACGGAGCGAAAAGGUCUCCUCUAAUACAGGGGGCUCAUGACGGUACCGUAAGAAUAAGCACCGGCUAACUACGUGCCAGCCGCCGCAGUAA